UGGGGAAUAUUGCACAAUGGGGGAAACCCUGAUGCAGCGACGCCGCGUGAACGAAGAAGGUAUUCGUAUCGUAAAGUUCUGUCCUAUGGGAAGAUAAUGACAGUACCAUAAGAAAAAGCCCCGGCUAACUACGUGCCAGCAGCCGCGGUAAUACGUAGGGGGCUAGCGUUGUCCGAAAUCACUGGGCGUAAAGGGUUCGCAGGCGGAAAUGCAAGUCAGGUGUAAAAGGCAGUAGCUUAACUACUGUAAGCAUUUGAAACUGCAUAUCUUGAGAAGAGUAGAGGUAAGUGGAAUUUUUAGUGUAGCGGUGAAAUGCGUAGAUAUUAAAAAGAAUACCGGUGGCGAAGGCGACUUACUGGGCUCAUUCUGACGCUGAGGAACGAAAGCGUGGGUAGCAAACAGG
Molecule: ribosomal RNA, 403 nt
Filed under: Bacteroidota bacterium
Lineage: Bacteria; Pseudomonadati; Bacteroidota
Description: Bacteroidetes bacterium partial 16S ribosomal RNA
Rfam family: Bacterial small subunit ribosomal RNA
Source: RNAcentral